This 72-nucleotide transfer RNA is filed under the name Carthamus tinctorius (safflower). RNAcentral describes it as "tRNA-Leu (CAA) (tRNA-Leu-CAA-4-1)". It matches the Rfam family "tRNA". Rfam says of the family: Transfer RNA (tRNA) molecules are approximately 80 nucleotides in length. Lineage: Eukaryota; Viridiplantae; Streptophyta; Magnoliopsida; Asterales; Asteraceae. The record is from RNAcentral.
AUCAGAGUGGCGCAGCGGGAGCGUGGUGGGCCCAAAACCCAUAGAUCCUAGGAUCGAAACCUGGCUUUGAUA